UUGAAAGGGAAACGAUUGAAGUCAGUCGUACCGACGAGAAAUCAGCUUAUCGUGUGUUAACUUGUGGGCGUGCGUGAGUUUCGGCCUCGCUGUUUGCAUGUUUGUGCGCUUUGGGUGUACUUUUUCGUAUGGGUGGCCAACAUCAGUUUCGAUCACUAUAAAAUGACUGGCGGAAUGUAGCUUCGAUUUCGGUUGAAGUGUUAUAGCCUCUGGUAGAUGUGGUGAUUGAGACUGAGGAUUGCAACGAAUAUCCUUUGGGCUAUCCGUCUGGCCUCUGAAAGUUGCUUGGGUGCUGAAAGCUUGCUUAUGGUUAUCUAAGUUAACGGUCAAUAGGUUAGAACGUGAUUACAUUCGUUAAGGAUGUUGACGUA
This 371-nucleotide ribosomal RNA is filed under the name uncultured Glomeromycotina. RNAcentral's name for it is "eukaryotic LSU rRNA". The record is from RNAcentral. Lineage: Eukaryota; Fungi; Glomeromycota.